This is a long non-coding RNA of Rhinichthys klamathensis goyatoka, 586 nucleotides long. RefSeq lists it as uncharacterized. Lineage: Eukaryota; Metazoa; Chordata; Actinopteri; Cypriniformes; Leuciscidae. The record is from RefSeq and is a predicted model, not a curated record. The transcript is spliced from 3 exons.
GCACAUUAUAUUGCAGGAAGAUUUUUUGAAACAAGAAACACCCCAAACUAUAUUCAAGACAGCAUGACUAAACAAAGCUUAAGAGGGUGUAUGUUCUGUGUCCAUCCCCGAUCAGCUGGGUCUUCUCACUAGCAUUGGUUGGCUGCAGCACAAUCGGAGUGUCACCAUCUGAAAAAAAGAAAGAAAAAUCACAGGUAAAAGAGGUCACAUAUGAUCAUCAAUAUGGAAUAAACAAGAGGUUACUCUGUCUAAUGUCAUGCCAUUUCACACUUCUAAUUGAACUUCCUGCUGAAAUGAAAAGUGUUUUGUACGCUCCAAGGACGUCCCAGCAAUCUGCCGUUAGCCUGCCCCUGCUGGCUGCACUUUUAUGACCUCAUUGAGCUGGCUCUGUAACACUGGUUUGAAGGGCAGCCCACUGUCCACUGACUUACCUUAUGCUGAAAAAAUAAGAUUCUAAGACCACAUGGGUGGAUUUUUAGAGACUACUUGAGCAGAAUAUGAUUUGGGCAUGACUUUUUGCACUGCACUAAUAUAAAUGCUAUAAAACAGGUGCAUCUACGCCAUCAUGGAGUUUCCGCAACGGACU